UUUAUGGAGAGUUUGAUCCUGGCUCAGGAUGAACGCUGGCGGCGUGCCUAAUACAUGCAAGUCGAGCGAACAGACGAGGAGCUUGUUCCUCUGACGUUAGCGGCGGACGGGUGAGUAACACGUGGAUAACUUACCUAUAAGACUGGGAUAACUUCGGGAAACCGGAGCUAAUACCGGAUAAUAUAUUGAACCGCAUGGUUCAAUAGUGAAAGACGGUUUUGCUGUCACUUAUAGAUGGAUCCGCGCCGCAUU
This 252-nucleotide ribosomal RNA is filed under the name Staphylococcus epidermidis. Its description in RNAcentral is "partial 16S ribosomal RNA". It matches the Rfam family "Bacterial small subunit ribosomal RNA", at positions 1 to 242 of the family's 1533-position model. The record is from RNAcentral. Lineage: Bacteria; Bacillati; Bacillota; Bacilli; Caryophanales; Staphylococcaceae.